AGCGGUGAAAUGCGUAGAUAUUGUGAGGAACACCAGUGGCGAAGGCGGCUUUCUGGACUAGUUCUGACGUUGAGGCACGAAAGCAUGGGGAGCGAACGGGAUUAGAUACCCCGGUAGUCCAUGCCGUAAACUUUGUUCACUAGGUGUUGGAGGCAUCGACCCCUUCAGUGUCGUAGAUAAUUCGUUAAGUGAACCGCCUGGGGAGUACGACCGCAAGGUUAAAACUCAAAGGAAUUGACGGGGGCCCGCACAAGCAGCGGAGCGUGUGGUUUAAUUCGAGGCUACGCGAAGAACCUUACCAGGGAUUGACAUGCACGUAGUAGGGAAGCGAAAGCAGACCGACCCUUCGGGGAGCGUGCACAGGUGAUGCAUGGCUGUCGUCAGCUCGUGCCGUGAGGUGUCAGGUUAAGUCCUGUAACGAGCGCAACCCCUGUCGUGUGUUAUACGUGUCACACGAGACUGCCGGUGUCAAACCGGAGGAAGGCGGGGAUGACGUCAAGUCAGCAUGUCCUUCAUAUCCUGGGCUACACACACGCUACAAUGGCCGGGACAACAGGCAGCCAAGCCGCGAGGCGGAGCUAAUCCUCUAAACCCGGUCUCAGUUCGGAUUGUAGGCUGCAACUCGCCUGCAUGAAGUCGGAGUUGCUAGUAACCGCGCGUCAGCAACAGUGCGGUGAAUACGUUCCCGGGUCUUGUACACACCGCCCGUCACGUCAUGGAAGCUGGCAACACCUGAAGCCGGUGGCCUAACCGCAAGGAGGGAGCCGUCCAAGGUGGGGUUGGUGACUGGGACGAAGUCGUAACAAGGUAGCUGUAGCGGAAGCUGCGGCUG
Molecule: ribosomal RNA, 832 nt
Filed under: marine metagenome
Description: bacterial SSU rRNA
Rfam family: Bacterial small subunit ribosomal RNA
Source: RNAcentral